RNAcentral lists this ribosomal RNA (208 nucleotides) under uncultured Pseudomonadota bacterium. RNAcentral's name for it is "uncultured proteobacterium partial 16S ribosomal RNA". It matches the Rfam family "Bacterial small subunit ribosomal RNA", at positions 568 to 775 of the family's 1533-position model. The record is from RNAcentral. Lineage: Bacteria; Pseudomonadati; Pseudomonadota.
CGUGUAGGCGGCUUGGAAAGUCAGAUGUGAAAGCCCUGGGCUCAACCCAGGAAGUGCAUUUGAAACUACCAAGCUAGAGUAUGGGAGAGGAGAGUGGAAUUCCCAGUGUAGAGGUGAAAUUCGUAGAUAUUGGGAGGAACACCGGUGGCGAAGGCGACUCUCUGGACCAAUACUGACGCUGAGACGCGAAAGCGUGGGGAGCAAACAG